UUAACAGAGUUUGAGAAGAGCCAUGCGAUGAUUAAGUGGUUGGGAAAAGACGUGGAAGAAAGGCUCAAGGACCCACACUUUUAAAGUCUGGAGGGGAGAACCUGGAGGAGGGUAUAGAAUAAUGAUUUUUAAGUGCCAGGCACUUACUAAUCAACUGACAUGCACUCUGUGAACACUUAGAAGAUGCCAGGUCUUGAGCGGGGUGCCUUAGCUCUGCCCUAGAGCUGGGAAGAGUAAGGGUUUAAAAAGUAAGUACACAGUGACGUGGGAGUGAUUUAAGAUCGACAAAAGAGGGAUGCCUGGGUGGCUCAGUCAGUUAAGCAUCUGACUUUGGCUCAGGUCAUGAUCUUGCAGUUCUUGGGUUCGAGCCCUGCAUCUGGCUCUGUGCUGACAGCUCAGAGUCUGGGGCCUGCUUCAGAUGCUGUGUCUCCCUCCCUCUCCACCCCUCCCCUACUUACUCUGUCUCAAAAAAUGAAUAAACAUUAAAACAAUUUUUUUCUUAAGACCAAAGAAAGGACUUCCCCAACCUGAAGGAGCUCGUUGCAGAACUGAAAUCCCAGGGAAUCCAGAAGGAAAAACGUGCUGUGUCCGGCUCGGCAUCACAGUUGCAAAGAAGACACUACUGUGACCCCUCCAAACCCUCCAGGCACACGCAUCCUUCUGCCAAGGGCUUCUUGUUGCAAGCGGCUGACUUUUUCUGCCAGAAGGCUUUUCUCUGGGGCAUGAGACCAGUUAAAGUCCUCCCAGAAGAAGCCCUCAAUCAACGAGGAGUGGGAGUGGUGGGUAAAUAACACACCUCCUCAUCCUGCAGGUAGGACGUCUCUGGGACAUGUGCUACACAGUGUCCCGGCAUGCCCAGCGAUUCUGAGCCCUGGUUGCCCACACUGGUCACUAGCCUGAUAUUGUGCUACUUGCCUGACACAGCUCUCUCCCAUUCUACUUCUCUACCAAUGUGUCCUGUGAUUACCCCCAAGUGAGUCACUUGAAUCCAUGUCAGGAUCUGCUUCUGGGAAAACCUAAACCUACAGCAAGGCCCUCAGGGGCAGUUGAGUCUUCACCUGGUCUGCAUAUCACUCUAGGCUAUGCCCAGCCUGGUAGUGAAUACCAGGCACUCAACAAACACCAAUGAAUGCAUGAAUGAAUGAAUGAAUGAACAAUGAGUGACUUUCUUCUCUAAAACUCAGAUUGCCCUAGAGGGAUACAUCCAUGUUCCGAAAAGUUAACCGGUUUACCCA
Molecule: long non-coding RNA, 1235 nt
Filed under: Felis catus (domestic cat)
Lineage: Eukaryota; Metazoa; Chordata; Mammalia; Carnivora; Felidae
Description: lncRNA (ENSFCAG00000049392.1)
Source: RNAcentral